Molecule: ribosomal RNA, 253 nt
Filed under: uncultured bacterium
Lineage: Bacteria
Description: partial 16S ribosomal RNA
Rfam family: Bacterial small subunit ribosomal RNA
Source: RNAcentral
UACGUAGGGGGCUAGCGUUGUCCGGAAUCAUUGGGCGUAAAGAGCGUGUAGGCGGCCCGGUAAGUCCGCUGUGAAAGUCGGGGGCUCAACCCUCGAAUGCCGGUGGAUACUGUCGGGCUAGAGUGCGGAAGAGGCAAGUGGAAUUCCCGGUGUAGCGGUGAAAUGCGCAGAUAUCGGGAGGAACACCAAUGGCGAAGGCAGCUUGCUGGGACGGUACUGACGCUGAGACGCGAAAGCGUGGGGAGCAAACAGG